UGGCUGAGCUAUUGCUAUUGGAGAUGCUCUAAACAUAACCAAAUAUCAAUACAAUCAGCCAUUAAAUACCUUAAUUUUUCAGCAUUAAAUAUCUUAAUUUUUUACUAAUUAUUUAGAAGAUCAUAACUAAAUAUAAUUGAAGCCCACAACUAUCAAGCCCAUACAGAUACACCUCAAUAACCUAAUUUCAUAUAAUCCAUCGUCUUCUUCAUAUUUAAUCGCAGCCGCUGUUAAAUAGGGGCUUUUGCAGAGGAUUUUGGUGGGUCUGCACAGCCAGGUAGCCUGCGCUGCCGUUGUACUUCUCCCUUCCUCGCCCAGAAGUCCAGCCGCCGCCGGAGUAGCUUGCCGUCGCGAGUCGGGAUCGGCCUUGACUGUCUUGGUUCCAGAAAUGGAUAGAUCUAAAGAAUCCACCUUUAUCCCGUUGAGUCUACCGGAGCAUCGCCGGAUUACGGCCAGAAUCACCACGAGCCUGCAAUAAGAAUAUGUUUACAUUAGUUUACAAAUAGACAUAAAUGCAGCCUCAAUAAUAUUGUGCAGUACCUAUUUAUAAAUAUUGCAAUGUUCUUUGAGAGCCUUGCUUUAAUUGAGCAUUUUUUGUAAACCGUAUAAUGCCAACAUUUGUAAAAAAAUAGAAAAAAAUAAUUAUACAAUCAGCUUCUCAUUUCUCUCCAAAAAGGAUAACAUUGUCUUU
Long non-coding RNA from Salvia splendens (bonfire salvia), 691 nucleotides. RefSeq lists it as uncharacterized. NCBI's taxonomy places the organism in Eukaryota, Viridiplantae, Streptophyta, Magnoliopsida, Lamiales, Lamiaceae. The transcript is spliced from 2 exons. The record is from RefSeq and is a predicted model, not a curated record.